UACGGAGGGGGCCAGCGUUGUUCGGAAUUAUUGGGCGUAAAGAGCUCGUAGGCGGUUUGUCGCGUCUGCUGUGAAAUCCCGAGGCUCAACCUCGGGCCUGCAGUGGGUACGGGCAGACUAGAGUGCGGUAGGGGAGAUUGGAAUUCCUGGUGUAGCGGUGGAAUGCGCAGAUAUCAGGAGGAACACCGAUGGCGAAGGCAGAUCUCUGGGCCGUAACUGACGCUGAGGAGCGAAAGCGUGGGGAGCGAACAGG
This 253-nucleotide ribosomal RNA is filed under the name uncultured bacterium. RNAcentral's name for it is "partial 16S ribosomal RNA". It matches the Rfam family "Bacterial small subunit ribosomal RNA", at positions 524 to 776 of the family's 1533-position model. The record is from RNAcentral.